This 369-nucleotide unclassified non-coding RNA is filed under the name uncultured fungus. RNAcentral's name for it is "sequence contains ITS1". The stretch from base 1 to 107 matches the Rfam family "5.8S ribosomal RNA", at positions 50 to 154 of the family's 154-position model. The record is from RNAcentral. Lineage: Eukaryota; Fungi.
AAAAUGCGAUACUUGGUGUGAAUUGCAGAAUCCCGUGAACCAUCGAGUUUUUGAACGCAAGUUGCGCCCGAAGCCUUUUGGCCGAGGGCACGUCUGCCUGGGCGUCACGCAUCGCGUCGCCCCCCACAGUUCUCCGCAAAGGGAACUCGUGUUUUGGGGGCGGAUACUGGUCUCCCGUGCUCAUGGCGUGGUUGGCCGAAAUAGGAGUCCCUUCGAUGGACGCACGAACUAGUGGUGGUCGUAAAAACCCUCGUCUUUUGCUUCGUGCCGUUAGUCGCAAGGGAAACUCUUUGAAAACCCCAGCGCGUCGUCUUUUGAUGGCGCUUCGACCGCGACCCCAGGUCAGGCGGGACUACCCGCUGAGUUUAA